ACAAUUCUCCCUUUUCACAUUGGCCUCUGGGCUUUAUUCAUCUCUUUCAUCCACCAAAACUAGAAAUACAACUCAUCUCUCUCCUCCACCUAAAUCGAAGCAAGGUAGCUCAAAACCCAUUUCAAAAAAUUGAUCAAUUACUUUGGUCACAAACUAGAGACCAUGACGACAAAGUUGAUGACGCCAAUAUCGACAACGAAUGAUUCACAACUGCCAUGUAAGAGAGUAUAGUGAGUUUCGCCAUCGAACACCCAAUCAUCCAGCUGUUUUGGAGCCACGAAUGAGGUAUGUAUCAAUUUCUUUUAGUCCAUGUUAUUUUUAUUAUCUAAAAUUAGAAUUUUCAGUGAAAAAUUGAAAGUGGGUCUCAAAAAAUUUUGAGAGCGUAUCUGUUUCUCCUGAUUUUUCGAUCGAUUUGUGUUAGUUGCAGUUAAAUGAUUAAUCCAAUUCGUGUUGAAGAUAGAGCUAAGUCGAAUAUCUCUGUGGUCCUGUAAUUGAUUGAAAAUGGGUCUAGAUUUUAGCUGUGUGCUUCUGAUUUUUUCCAUGGAUUCAUGAUAGAUGAAAAUGGUUGAUGAAGAUUUGCUUGACAUGUAUAUAGACGGUAUUUUGUUAAAGGGGUUUUUAAUUUUUUUUUCCCUUUUUUGGUGGUUUCGAUUGUGGUAUUUACAUGCCUUGGGUUGAGAAAAACGAAAAUGGUUUGUUGCACUCUUUUGUGUUGGAUCAGUGAGUUUAGGCGAUUUGAAAUGGUUUGCGGCAUUCAAUUGAUUGUUUAUUUAUGUGGUUUGAUAUGGGAAAAGCAUAAUAAAAUUCAAUUGUUCCAUAUAUCAAUUUGGAUGUGAUUUGAAAUUAUGAACUACAAAAAGUUAAAAUUAAUUUCUUAUUAUAUUUUCAAUUGAAAGUUACUAUUGUCUUCUUUUUAGUACUUAGUAUGCAUUUUUCCCCAUCUUCUAGUGGUGGUGUUACACCCAUUUUUAAUUUGAUCGGCAUCUUCUUCUGUACAUGCAUGUUUCUUGGAUUCCAAUUUUUGUUUCAUAUGAUGAAGCUAAUUUAAUUCCUCCUUUUUAAUAUCAACUUUGUUCAUCUAGGUUUGCGAUUUUGAUCUUUCUCAUUUGAAGGCAAACACAUUUAUGUCAUCAAAAUUUCCAAUGUUUUUUUAUUUUAUAGUAUCCAAACUGCUUAUGGCAAUAUGAAAUUGAGAAUAUUUCUUUCAUCAUGUUAACCUGAGUGGAUGGUGGAUGAUGUUUGUGUAAAAGAUUUAAGUUAUUUGUAUUAUAGAAUAUGUCUUAUGUUUCGAUUUGCAAUUUCACCAUUAAAUUGGCUUUGUAAAUGAUUAGAAGCUAAAUGCAUAAAAUGAAAACAAUAGUAGCAUUUCUGAGUGGGGUAUAAUCAGAUGCUAAGAUGGUGAUCCAUGACUUGUAAUUUCUAUUGUCGUUAUAAUUGGACUAGAUCGAGGUAAACUGACUUUUCUUGUUCUGGUUUUUUUUUGGUUCUUUGUUCUAGAUUUUUCUUUCUUUGUUUUACUUCUGGUUUCUUCUUCAUCAUAUUCAAUAACUGGCAGGAGCAAAUGGAGAGGAAGAGGGUAGAAUAUGCUUUAAAAAAAAAGAGAUAGCUCUAAUUCAAAAAUAAGGAGAAGAGAAAAGGGCAAUGAUUGAAGUUGUGGAGAAGAAAUUCUUAAUGCAUAGGAGAUGACAACAAAGUGUUGCAACUGGGAGCAGUUUUAAAGUACUAUUCGAUUGCUUUUCUAAUCAAAUUGUCUUUUGUACCUAUUUACACACAUAUUUGUAUUUGUAAUUUGAAUUUUACAUUUUCUCAAGACAACUAUGUUUAUUUUUUUUAAAAUCUGAAUGUAACUAAAAUAUUAAAGUUUUUGUACUUAUUACUCUAUUUGAUGAUUUUUUAUUUUUUAG
RNAcentral lists this long non-coding RNA (1904 nucleotides) under Citrus sinensis (sweet orange). RNAcentral describes it as "long non-coding RNA (CSIN_LNC002687)". Lineage: Eukaryota; Viridiplantae; Streptophyta; Magnoliopsida; Sapindales; Rutaceae. The record is from RNAcentral.